RNAcentral lists this ribosomal RNA (467 nucleotides) under uncultured bacterium. Its description in RNAcentral is "partial 16S ribosomal RNA". It matches the Rfam family "Bacterial small subunit ribosomal RNA", at positions 29 to 507 of the family's 1533-position model. The record is from RNAcentral.
ACGCACGCUGGCGGCGUGCUUCACACCUGCAAGUCGCACGGAAAGGCCCUGCUUUUGUGGGGUGCUCGAGUGGCGAACGGGUGAGUAACACGUGAGUAACCUGCCCUUGACUUUGGGAUAACUUCAGGAAACUGGGGCUAAUACCGGAUAGGAGCUCCUGCUGCAUGGUGGGGGUUGGAAAGUUUCGGCGGUUGGGGAUGGACUCGCGGCUUAUCAGCUUGUUGGUGGGGUAGUGGCUUACCAAGGCUUUGACGGGUAGCCGGCCUGAGAGGGUGACCGGCCACAUUGGGACUGAGUUACAGCCCAGACUCCUACGGGAGGCAGCAGUGGGGAAUAUUGCACAAUGGGCGGAAGCCUGAUGCAGCAACGCCGCGUGCGGGAUGACGGCCUUCGGGUUGUAAACCGCUUUCGCCUGUGACGAAGCGUGAGUGACGGUAAUGGGUAAAGAAGCACCGGCUAACUACGUG